UACGUAGGUGGCAAGCGUUGUCCGGAUUUACUGGGCGUAAAGAGCGCGCAGGCGGUCGUUCAAGUCGCGUGUGAAAGCCCCCGGCUCAACUGGGGAGGGUCACGCGAUACUGAUCGACUCGAAGGCAGGAGAGGGUAGUGGAAUUCCCGGUGUAGUGGUGAAAUGCGUAGAUAUCGGGAGGAACACCAGUGGCGAAGGCGGCAUCCUGGACCAACACUGACGCUGAGGAGCGAAAGCCAGGGGAGCAAACGGG
RNAcentral lists this ribosomal RNA (253 nucleotides) under uncultured bacterium. Its description in RNAcentral is "partial 16S ribosomal RNA". It matches the Rfam family "Bacterial small subunit ribosomal RNA", at positions 524 to 776 of the family's 1533-position model. The record is from RNAcentral.